AUGAAACUGCUGGGGACUUACGAACACUGCACAGUCGGUCGGAUCAACCAUCUGUACAACUGGCAGGUUUUUGUACAGCCAGUUAAUCAGACUCAACCACUGUGGUGGACUUUCGGUGGCGGGAGCAAACUGGAAAUCGGCAGUGACACAGUUCCCACCCUCACAGUCCUGCCCCCCUCCAGUGUGGAGCUGGAGCAGGGAAAGGCCACACUGGUGUGUCUGGCCAACAAGGGCUUCCCCUCAGACUGGACUCUGCGCUGGAAAGUGGACGACGCCAGCUGGAGCUCGGGCGUGGCCGGGAGUGUGGGGGUCCUGGGGAAUGACGGCCUGUACAGCUGGAGCAGCUCGCUGACUCUCAGUGCGGGAGACUGGAUGAAGGCGGGGUCACUGACCUGUGAGGCCACAAAGGGCUCCCAGUCUGCCCCCCCUCAGACACUGAGGAGAGCCCACUGUUCUUAGUAGGCCGGGUGGAGGACCAGCUCACACGUGCUCAUGUGCUCUGCUUGUGUUCAUUAAAACAAAUAUGCACACGUGUGCUCUUAUUUGUGUUUGUGUGGUUUUGAGAAUAGCUGUUAGAUCAAUUUCAUUGACAUAAUAAAGAUUCUUUGAAGAA
Non-coding RNA from Conger conger (European conger), 613 nucleotides. The record is from the annotation of a RefSeq genome assembly. NCBI's taxonomy places the organism in Eukaryota, Metazoa, Chordata, Actinopteri, Anguilliformes, Congridae.